RNAcentral lists this long non-coding RNA (328 nucleotides) under Salvia miltiorrhiza (redroot sage). Its description in RNAcentral is "long non-coding RNA (SMIL_LNC010187)". Lineage: Eukaryota; Viridiplantae; Streptophyta; Magnoliopsida; Lamiales; Lamiaceae. The record is from RNAcentral.
GAAAAAUGCGAAGAGGAUUUAAAAACAGGUUGGCAGAGCAUAAGAAGAAGCCACACUACAUGGCGCAUCUAAAAGUGGUCCAUAGUUGUUUCUACAGGUGGUCCCAUAACAACUUUUGACACAUGAAGGUAGUUGAAUAUUUGAUGUUGACCGACGUGGUACUUACCAUCUGGCCACAAGAAGAACAUAGCUGAAAUGACAGAAAUUUCCCUUAGUAUUUAGAGCUGAAAUUACCAAAAUAUCCCCAAUUGUAACAGUAUAUAAAUAGAAUGAGAAUCACCAUUGUACAAUACGUUCAAAACAUUAGUAGAAACUCUACCAAAAUCAA